RNAcentral lists this ribosomal RNA (207 nucleotides) under uncultured bacterium. Its description in RNAcentral is "partial 16S ribosomal RNA". It matches the Rfam family "Bacterial small subunit ribosomal RNA", at positions 568 to 774 of the family's 1533-position model. The record is from RNAcentral.
CACGUAGGCGGUUCGUCGCGUCCGGUGUGAAAGUCCAUCGCUUAACGGUGGAUCCGCGCCGGGUACGGGCGGGCUUGAGUGCGGUAGGGGAGACUGGAAUUCCCGGUGUAACGGUGGAAUGUGUAGAUAUCGGGAAGAACACCAAUGGCGAAGGCAGGUCUCUGGGCCGUCACUGACGCUGAGGAGCGAAAGCGUGGGGAGCGAACA